CAGCAGCCACGGUAAUACGUAGGGGGCUAGCGUUGUUCGGAUUUACUGGGCGUAAAGCGCACGUAGGCGGAUCGAUCAGUCAGGGGUGAAAUCCUGGAGCUCAACUCCAGAACUGCCUUUGAUACUGUCGAUCUCGAGUCCGGAAGAGGUGAGUGGAACUCCUAGUGUAGAGGUGGAAUUCGUAGAUAUUAGGAAGAACACCAGUGGCGAAGGCGGCUCACUGGCUCAUACUGGACGCUGAGGUGCGAAAGCGUGGGGAGCAAACAGGAUUAGAUACCCCCGUAGUCCCUGUCUCUUAUAC
Molecule: ribosomal RNA, 301 nt
Filed under: uncultured bacterium
Lineage: Bacteria
Description: partial 16S ribosomal RNA
Rfam family: Bacterial small subunit ribosomal RNA
Source: RNAcentral